CUACAGGAAGUGAGUAUACGCCUCGUGUGCCAGAAUCAACCUUAACAUUUGGCUGCGAGAAUGUGAGCUAGAGCUAGAUCUGCGAUCCAUUGGCAGGCAGAAUUCGGCUGCGAUGCCCGCAUAAGAUCUAAGAUACGUUUCUACGAAAGCUCGUCGAAAUAUUUCCCACGGCGCAUGCGUGAAGACAACUCGAAGACAACAACGACAACAACAUCAAGCAGAGGUUAGUCAUGGCUGCAAAAAUAUGAUGGAGUCUCGAGAUCGCAGUGGAGAUGGAGAUGGAGAUGUAGAUGACGAUGGAGAUGUAGAUGACGAUGGAGGAGAGGCCAGGCACGGCGACAAGCGACUGAAAAUGUGCAAAACAAAUAGCUCAACAACAAUUCAACAUUUCGAAUUGGACUUGGGCCGAGGCUUGCCAAAAAACAAUAACGAGAACCGCAAGAGCAGACACAAUAAAGCCGAACGCCAACAGCCUCAAGCAGCGGCCUUAUUGAAACAUAGUGUGUGAUAUACGAGUACAGUGAAUGUGGGCUAAGGCAGACGCUCAAAUAGUAAUCAUAGCUAUUUUGAAAAUCAGUAAUUAUUCAUCGACUCGUGUAUGAAACAUAUCCUAGCUUUUUGUAUCGAAGCUAAGAUAAAGUUAAUGUUG
This is a non-coding RNA of Drosophila melanogaster (fruit fly), 649 nucleotides long. NCBI's taxonomy places the organism in Eukaryota, Metazoa, Arthropoda, Insecta, Diptera, Drosophilidae. The record is from Ensembl.